RNAcentral lists this unclassified non-coding RNA (1306 nucleotides) under Hevea brasiliensis (rubber tree). The record is from RNAcentral. Lineage: Eukaryota; Viridiplantae; Streptophyta; Magnoliopsida; Malpighiales; Euphorbiaceae.
AAAGGGUGGUAUGCAUCCUUAUCCUUCUCUCAACUGUUCUUUUGAAUUUCUUUUAUCCGCUAAAUGAGAUUUUCUAAUCUGAUACAAAAGACGUAAUGUGGUGAGCAUUCCCAAUGGCCCAUCUGUUCUUGCAGUAAAGGAAGCAGCCUGGGGUCUAGCUAGCUACGCUUCCAUUUCUCAGGUAAACAUAACAUAAAAUCAACUGCCGUCUGAUUUAUCAACUUUGGCAAAUACACAGGCGAGGGACAGUCAGAAGAAGCCAAGAAAGGAAGGUUUGUUAAGGGUUAUGUUUAUUAGGCCGUUAGAACCAGUGGGUAGAAGAAAUGAUGUUGAUGAGGAUAGUGAUCAUCAAGAAGGAAAAAUCAUUUUCUAUUCUUGUAGCCCAUGGAGACUCCUUUUGUUUAUAGCACGUUCAUGGUUUUGAGGAUGCGUGUGCAGAUUACCUUUGCAAUGUAAUUGUUACCUGGGAAUUCAUCUUGGCACCUAAAAAUUGCAAUGUUUGAAAUGUGCAGUUCUAAAUGUUUUUGGAAGUUUCUGUGGUACAACGAACGGGGAUGCAACUUUCAGUGAUGCUUGAAAAUGUAGUAGGUUUACCAGCUGAAAAGAAGGCAGAGACCUUCAAGAGGCUCAGGAAUACCUUGAUUAUUAGAAAUUAUACGAGGAGUUAUACUUCUACUAUUAAACAAUACCCACUACGAUGUGACUAAAAGUUCAGUCCAAUUUCCUAACAAGGAAAAGAUUUGCCUUUUCACCUCACAAUUUGGUAGUUAGAGGAGUCUGACCUAAACACAAAUACCCCAUAUUCUGAUUGAAUCCUGCAAUGUAACCUGACAUGCUUCUGAAAGAUCUUUUACACUAUAUAUCUAAUCCCUAAGUUGGUUCUGGUAUAUUGUCGGGAGGCACCGGAAAUUAUUACUUGAAAAGGAAUUUUGAUCAUAAAGAUUAUAUUGACAGGUACAAGUUAACCCUAGAAGUGUCAACAUUCAUUCUGAUUGAAAUCAUUAACAUGACCUAAACAGUGUACUCUUGAAAUCUAAUCAAAUUCCUUUAUUUAGGAAAUAACAGACAAGUGCCACAAACAAAACCUGAGCAGUCUACUACACAAGUCUGCUUGAAUUCCUUCAUAGAUGAGCUACUUAACAUCUGUUGAGAAGAUAAUACAUGAGAUCAAGGUUAGUUUAUUGACCAAUUCACAUCUUUAUGCAUCUCUGCUCUAAACUGGAUCAUAUGUAACUCCUACCGCUAGCAUGGCACUCGGACAGCCAUAAGUCUAUUUGUUCAAUGACCUGCUGCCUUACUUUGUGAA